RNAcentral lists this ribosomal RNA (497 nucleotides) under uncultured bacterium. Its description in RNAcentral is "partial 16S ribosomal RNA". It matches the Rfam family "Bacterial small subunit ribosomal RNA", at positions 28 to 507 of the family's 1533-position model. The record is from RNAcentral.
GAUGAACGCUGGCGGCGUGCCUAAUACAUGCAAGUCGAGCGAACAGAUGAGGAGCUUGCUCCUCUGACGUUAGCGGCGGACGGGUGAGUAACACGUGGAUAACCUACCUAUAAGACUGGGAUAACUUCGGGAAACCGGAGCUAAUACCGGAUAAUAUAUUGAACCGCAUGGUUCAAUAGUGAAAGACGGUUUUGCUGUCACUUAUAGAUGGAUCCGCGCCGCAUUAGCUAGUUGGUAAGGUAACGGCUUACCAAGGCAACGAUGCGUAGCCGACCUGAGGGGGUGAUCGGCAACACUGGAACUGAGACACGGUCCAGACUCCUACGGGAGGCAGCAGUAGGGAAUCUUCCGCAAUGGGCGAAAGCCUGACGGAGCAACGCCGCGUGAGUGAUGAAGGUCUUCGGAUCGUAAAACUCUGUUAUUAGGGAAGAACAAAUGUGUAAGUAACUAUGCACGUCUUGACGGUACCUAAUCAGAAAGCCACGGCUAACUACGUG